UGUCUUCAAUAAUGUCACAGGGUCUC
RNAcentral lists this non-coding RNA (26 nucleotides) under Rattus norvegicus (Norway rat). The record is from RNAcentral. Lineage: Eukaryota; Metazoa; Chordata; Mammalia; Rodentia; Muridae.